Molecule: ribosomal RNA, 433 nt
Filed under: uncultured bacterium
Lineage: Bacteria
Description: partial 16S ribosomal RNA
Rfam family: Bacterial small subunit ribosomal RNA
Source: RNAcentral
AGCGAACGCUGGCGGCAGGCCUAACACAUGCAAGUCGAACGGAUCCUUCGGGAUUAGUGGCGGACGGGUGAGUAACACGUGGGAACGUUCCCUUUGGUUCGGAACAACUCAGGGAAACUUGAGCUAAUACCGGAUGUGCCCUUCGGGGGAAAGAUUUAUCGCCAUUGGAGCGGCCCGCGUCUGAUUAGCUAGUUGGUGAGGUAACGGCCCACCAAGGCGACGAUCAGUAGCUGGUCUGAGAGGAUGAUCAGCCACACUGGGACUGAGACACGGCCCAGACUCCUACGGGAGGCAGCAGUGGGGAAUCUUGCGCAAUGGGCGAAAGCCUGACGCAGCCAGGCCGCGUGAAUGAUGAAGGUCUUAGGAUUGUAAAAUUCUUUCAGCGGGGACGAUAAUGACGGUACCCGCAGAAGAAGCUCCGGCUAACUUCGUG